AGAAGGCCCCAAACAAGGUCAGGAUCCCUCCUGCACUGCACUGUGCAAGCCCCUGCUGAGAAAGAGUCCCAGUUCUUAAAGCAUUUAAAUAGAUACAUCAAUCAGAGAGCAAUAAAAUGGCUCACAGCCAAAUUAGAUGAGCAGGACAUUUAAAUUCCUGGUGCUCCAAGUCUCCUGCCCAGUGAAGGUGGUUCCAGCCCUCUCUGCAGAGCCACAGCUGGCUGGGAGUUGUCUGGUCACUAGAAUCAGCAAAAAACUUAGGAGGAAAAGCUGCAAUAUGUUUCCCCCAUGACUGGGAAAAAUUCUGCAAGUCUUACGUUUUCUCAGCUCAUCCCACUACAUCUAUUUACUCAACUCAUAAAGAUUUGAAGGAACAUGAGUAAAGGACUGGAAAAUUACACUGAAAAAGAAUCAGAGCAACUGAGUGUCAGGAGAGCAAACACCACAAGAAACAACAAAGAAAGAAAAACACUCAUGUGAUGA
Molecule: long non-coding RNA, 483 nt
Organism: Pseudopipra pipra
Lineage: Eukaryota; Metazoa; Chordata; Aves; Passeriformes; Pipridae
Exons: 2
Source: RefSeq, a predicted model, not a curated record